AUGAUUGCUUUUGAGUGUAUUCACCAUAUCCAAACUUCUUUCGGAAAUAAUGAUUUUUGUGCGUAUAAGCUAGACCUUUCGAAGGCUUAUGACCGUGUAGAUUGGGACUACUUGGAGCGUGCUCUUUUGAAGUGGGGCUUCUCCCCAUGUUGGGUUGAUCUAGUUAUGGAGUGUGUCAUGUCGGUCAAGUAUUCUGUCAAGUUUAAUGGCCGGCUACUGGAGCAAUUUUCUCCUUCGUGUGGUUUACGUCAAGGUGACCCCAUAUCACCCUUCCUGUUCCUCUUUGUGGCUGACUCCUUGUCUUCCUUAUUACAUGAGGCAGUCCAACAUAGAGGACUUGAGGCUAUCAAAAUCUGUAGGAGAGCCCCUGCUAUAUCACACUUAUUGUUUGCAGACGAUUCCCUUCUGUUCUUCCGUGCUACUACGGAUUCGGCGAUGAUUGUCAAGGAUGUGUUGAGUACUUAUGCUUCAACUACGGGUCAAAUUAUCAACCCAUCAAAGUGCUCCAUCCUGUUUGCUGACAAUUGUCCAAAUCAAGUUGUGGAGGAAGUGAAACAAAUUCUGAAUGUCAAUGUCACUCAACAGGAGUUUGAACCAAAGUAUUUGGGCCUCCCGGUUCCAGAGGGGCGCAUGCAUAAGGGACGUUUUGAAUCUCUGCAGUCUAGAUUGAGUAAGUGCUUGGUGAAUUGGAGUGAACGAUAUUCGUCUUUUGCAAGUAAGGAGGUGCUUAUAAAAGCGGUGACCCAAGCCAUCCCAGUUUAUGUUAUGAGUAUAUUCAAGCUUCCCAUGUCGGUAUGUGAUGAUUUGACAAAGAUGAUGAGACAAUACUGGUGGGGGUGGAAAACGGAAAUAAAAAGAUGUCAUGCGUGGCUUGGGAGCGUUUGA
RNAcentral lists this ribosomal RNA (885 nucleotides) under Triticum aestivum (bread wheat). RNAcentral describes it as "partial small subunit ribosomal RNA". Lineage: Eukaryota; Viridiplantae; Streptophyta; Magnoliopsida; Poales; Poaceae. The record is from RNAcentral.